GCAAGUCGUACGCACUGGCCCAACUGAUUGAUGGUGCUUGCACCUGAUUGACGAUGGAUCACCAGUGAGUGGCGGACGGGUGAGUAACACGUAGGUAACCUGCCCCGGAGCGGGGGAUAACAUUUGGAAACAGAUGCUAAUACCGCAUAACAACAAAAGCCACAUGGCUUUUGUUUGAAAGAUGGCUUUGGCUAUCACUCUGGGAUGGACCUGCGGUGCAUUAGCUAGUUGGUAAGGUAACGGCUUACCAAGGCGAUGAUGCAUAGCCGAGUUGAGAGACUGAUCGGCCACAAUGGAACUGAGACACGGUCCAUACUCCUACGGGAGGCAGCAGUAGGGAAUCUUCCACAAUGGGCGCAAGCCUGAUGGAGCAACACCGCGUGAGUGAAGAAGGGUUUCGGCUCGUAAAGCUCUGUUGUUGGAGAAGAACGUGCGUGAGAGUAACUGUUCACGCAGUGACGGUAUCCAACCAGAAAGUCACGGCUAACUACGUGCCAGCAGCCGCGGUAAUACGUAGGUGGCAAGCGUUAUCCGGAUUUAUUGGGCGUAAAGCGAGCGCAGGCGGUUGCUUAGGUCUGAUGUGAAAGCCUUCGGCUUAACCGAAGAAGUGCAUCGGAAACCGGGCGACUUGAGUGCAGAAGAGGACAGUGGAACUCCAUGUGUAGCGGUGGAAUGCGUAGAUAUAUGGAAGAACACCAGUGGCGAAGGCGGCUGUCUGGUCUGCAACUGACGCUGAGGCUCGAAAGCAUGGGUAGCGAACAGGAUUAGAUACCCUGGUAGUCCAUGCCGUAAACGAUGAGUGCUAGGUGUUGGAGGGUUUCCGCCCUUCAGUGCCGGAGCUAACGCAUUAAGCACUCCGCCUGGGGAGUACGACCGCAAGGUUGAAACUCAAAGGAAUUGACGGGGGCCCGCACAAGCGGUGGAGCAUGUGGUUUAAUUCGAAGCUACGCGAAGAACCUUACCAGGUCUUGACAUCUUGCGCUAACCUUAGAGAUAAGGCGUUCCCUUCGGGGACGCAAUGACAGGUGGUGCAUGGUCGUCGUCAGCUCGUGUCGUGAGAUGUUGGGUUAAGUCCCGCAACGAGCGCAACCCUUGUUACUAGUUGCCAGCAUUAAGUUGGGCACUCUAGUGAGACUGCCGGUGACAAACCGGAGGAAGGUGGGGACGACGUCAGAUCAUCAUGCCCCUUAUGACCUGGGCUACACACGUGCUACAAUGGACGGUACAACGAGUCGCAAACUCGCGAGAGUAAGCUAAUCUCUUAAAGCCGUUCUCAGUUCGGACUGUAGGCUGCAACUCGCCUACACGAAGUCGGAAUCGCUAGUAAUCGCGGAUCAGCAUGCCGCGGUGAAUACGUUCCCGGGCCUUGUACACACCGCCCGUCACACCAUGGGAGUUUGUAACGCCCAAAG
RNAcentral lists this ribosomal RNA (1412 nucleotides) under Limosilactobacillus reuteri. RNAcentral's name for it is "bacterial SSU rRNA". It matches the Rfam family "Bacterial small subunit ribosomal RNA", at positions 57 to 1426 of the family's 1533-position model. The record is from RNAcentral. Lineage: Bacteria; Bacillati; Bacillota; Bacilli; Lactobacillales; Lactobacillaceae.